Candoia aspera is the source of this 963-nucleotide long non-coding RNA. RefSeq lists it as uncharacterized. The transcript has 2 exons. NCBI's taxonomy places the organism in Eukaryota, Metazoa, Chordata, Lepidosauria, Squamata, Candoiidae. The record is from RefSeq and is a predicted model, not a curated record.
CCCCGCCUCGGCGGAGAGUCAAAGGGCGAUCUGGGGAGGGGCUGGAAGGAAAGGGCCGGCGACGGCGAGGCGCGUCUUAUCUUGCUCUCUUCCCGCGGAUCGGCCCGGGCCGAAGAGGGCUCUGAAGGAGGAAGCGGCCCAUUGUUUUGUUUCAAGAACUAAGGGCUCCGGAGUUCAGAUCGGAUAGGAAAUUACGCAUAGGUUGGCUAUGAGCAAGCCUCUCCGAGUACGCUGUGAAGAGUCGCAGCCUCCACCUGGGGGUCACACACACACCCCGGCUUCUUUCUGAUGCGAGCCAAGGCUUUGAACAGCUUUAAUUCAUUGCCAAGAAGUCGGGAACAAAAAGGAAUAUCCAAAAAGAUUUGUUAUCUGGAUUUAUAGCAUUCCUACUUCCUUCUCCCCCUACUUCCCCAUGCCCAACCUCCUUCACAGCACCUCCAUCAGGUUGCCAAAUUAAUCCUAGUGCAGGUUCCUGGCUAGCCUGUUAUCCGUUACUUCAAAAAUAGACGUUUUCUGAAGCAGAUAUUUGCUUCUGUUUCAAAUUACCUGGAUUUACCCCUAGAUUCCUGGAGAUUCCAGGAUUUUAUCAGAGAAUAUUUGGGGAAAUGGUAAACCCCACUCUUCCAGCCUCAGUAGUUACUUUGACUGCUGUUCUAAAAGGACCAAACCUUUUUCUAACCAAGGGAGAGGCUGGGGUAAUUCCUUUGUGUAUAUGACAAAGUGAAGAUGUCAAUUAGGCAUGUCUAAGUCAGCAGGUUGGCCAUCUGAAUGACCGCCUGCAGCCUGCAUGCUCACAACAUAGCCUUUAACAUUUGUUUGGAUUGUAACUUAAGUUUUAAAUUGGGCAUCCAAGGUUGCACUGUAUGGCACACUGCAAAUUAAAAUUUGGAAAAUGAACAAAUGAAUAAGACUCCAACGGUCUAUAGAUCUUUUGACACUUAAAGAUCAUAUAUCAAAAUAUGA